CGCGGCCUAUCAGCUUGUUGGCGGGGUAAUGGCCCACCAAGGCGACGACGGGUAGCUGGUCUGAGAGGAUGGCCAGCCACAUUGGGACUGAGAGACGGCCCAGACUCCUACGGGAGGCAGCAGUGGGGAAUCUUGCGCAAUGGCCGAAAGGCUGACGCAGCGACGCCGCGUGUGGGAUGACGCCUUUCGGGGUGUAAACCACUGUUGCCCGGGACGAACAGCUUCUUUCGUGGAGCCUGACGGUACCGGGUGAGGAAGCACCGGCUAACUCCGUGCCAGCAGCCGCGGUAAUACGGAGGGUGCGAGCGUUGUCCGGAAUCAUUGGGCGUAAAGGGCGCGUAGGUGGCAGGCCAAGCGUGCGGUGAAAGCUCGGGGCUCAACCCCGGGUCGGCCGUGCGAACUGGCGUGCUGGAGCACUGUAGAGGCAGGCGGAAUUCCGGGUGUAGCGGUGGAAUGCGUAGAGAUCCGGAAGAACACCGGUGGCGAAGGCGGCCUGCUGGGCAGUUGCUGACACUGAGGCGCGACAGCGUGGGGAGCAAACAGGAUUAGAUACCCUGGUAGUCCACGCCGUAAACGAUGGGCACUAGGCGCUUGGGGGAGCGACCCCCCGAGGGCCGGCGCUAACGCAUUAAGUGCCCCGCC
This 642-nucleotide ribosomal RNA is filed under the name uncultured bacterium. RNAcentral describes it as "bacterial SSU rRNA". It matches the Rfam family "Bacterial small subunit ribosomal RNA", at positions 232 to 873 of the family's 1533-position model. The record is from RNAcentral.